CAUAAACUUAAUAUUAUAUCUGAAAACAGAUGAACUCAUCAGAUCCCAAGUAAAAUCAAAAUGUAUGUACAAGAAUGAAAUAUUGGUAGUUAAUCUUUCUGGAUAUUUUCAGUAAAACAGCGGAUAUUGCACAGUUUCGGGAAAAACCACGACUUUCAUGCCUUCUAUUUAUCCAUUUCAUCUUCAGUGUCACUUGGAAAUAAUGAAAACUUAAAAAUAGGAUGUUAAAUAUUGCUUGAUCAUUGUUCAUAUUCUAGUAUAUUUACCUCUUUCUCAGGGUUGCUAUCAAAUACAAUUGAAAAUCCUCCACAGUCUCCUCCCCACAGACUGUGUUUCCCUUUCCAGUUGAAUGGAAAGAGAUACAUUGUAUGAGAAAUGUCGCACUCGAAGAUGCUGGGAACAACGUUUCUUUCCACAUGCCGAGGCACUGCAUUUUUGGACAGAAUCAUCACACCUAUCCACUGCUGAAUUUAGGUUUGCACAUCUAUGCUGCAUAAACAAGCGCAAAGCUUCCAGAUUGUUUAGUCUAGAAGCUUUGCCAACAGCAGGAAGAUAAUUACGACUACCAAGCCACCAAUGUGGACCUGAGUUGACUUUCCAAGCUCAUAUUGGUGGCCCAAAAGGAUUGGUAGGUGGAUAGUCACCCACGCAACUGUCCGAACUGACUUCCAGAGAGGGAUCGAAGAAAGACAACGAAAACACUAUUAAGGAUAUCUCGAGAUCAUCUACUGUGCAGUCCACUGGGGAAGCAUUGCAGUUGUAGGAAACAUCUUCCUCUUGCAAUACCACCGGAAACUCUAAAAGAAAUAUUAAUUAUAGUAUAUAACCAGCCGUCUAUUAAUAGUAAAAUUUCAAAUUUAAUCUACACUUCUAUAAUCAAAUAACUACUUCACCUUUCUAACUAAUCCACGUUUAACAUAUUAAUAUGUAACUGAAUGGCAAUGGAAAGAAAAAGUACUGUACUGUAUUCCGUUUCACUUUAG
RNAcentral lists this long non-coding RNA (983 nucleotides) under Androctonus crassicauda. Lineage: Eukaryota; Metazoa; Arthropoda; Arachnida; Scorpiones; Buthidae. The record is from RNAcentral.